GAUGAACGCUAGCUACAGGCUUAACACAUGCAAGUCGAGGGGCAGCAUGGUCUUAGCUUGCUAAGGCUGAUGGCGACCGGCGCACGGGUGAGUAACACGUAUCCAACCUGCCGUCUACUCUUGGCCAGCCUUCUGAAAGGAAGAUUAAUCCAGGAUGGGAUCAUGAGUUCACAUGUCCGCAUGAUUAAAGGUAUUUUCCGGUAGACGAUGGGGAUGCGUUCCAUUAGAUAGUAGGCGGGGUAACGGCCCACCUAGUCAACGAUGGAUAGGGGUUCUGAGAGGAAGGUCCCCCACAUUGGAACUGAGACACGGUCCAAACUCCUACGGGAGGCAGCAGUGAGGAAUAUUGGUCAAUGGGCGAUGGCCUGAACCAGCCAAGUAGCGUGAAGGAUGACUGCCCUAUGGGUUGUAAACUUCUUUUAUAAAGGAAUAAAGUCGGGUAUGCAUACCCGUUUGCAUGUACUUUAUGAAUAAGGAUCGGCUAACUCCGUGCCAGCAGCCGCGGUAAUACGGAGGAUCCGAGCGUUAUCCGGAUUUAUUGGGUUUAAAGGGAGCGUAGAUGGAUGUUUAAGUCAGUUGUGAAAGUUUGCGGCUCAACCGUAAAAUUGCAGUUGAUACUGGAUGUCUUGAGUGCAGUUGAGGCAGGCGGAAUUCGUGGUGUAGCGGUGAAAUGCUUAGAUAUCACGAAGAACUCCGAUUGCGAAGGCAGCCUGCUAAGCUGCAACUGACAUUGAGGCUCGAAAGUGUGGGUAUCAAACAGG
This 761-nucleotide ribosomal RNA is filed under the name uncultured Bacteroidales bacterium. Its description in RNAcentral is "bacterial SSU rRNA". It matches the Rfam family "Bacterial small subunit ribosomal RNA", at positions 28 to 776 of the family's 1533-position model. The record is from RNAcentral. Lineage: Bacteria; Pseudomonadati; Bacteroidota; Bacteroidia; Bacteroidales.